ACGGGUGAGUAACGCGUGGGAAUCUACCGUACCCUACGGAAUAGCUCUGGGAAACUGGAAGUAAUACCGUAUACGCCCUAACGGGGAAAGAUUUAUCGGGGUAUGAUGAGCCCGCGUUGGAUUAGCUAGUUGGUGGGGUAAAGGCCUACCAAGGCGACGAUCCAUAGCUGGUCUGAGAGGAUGAUCAGCCACAUUGGGACUGAGACACGGCCCAAACUCCUACGGGAGGCAGCAGUGGGGAAUAUUGGACAAUGGGGCAACCCUGAUCCAGCCAUGCCGCGUGAGUGACGAAGGUCUUAGGAUUGUAAAGCUCUUUCAACGGUGAAGAUAAUGACGGUAACCGUAGAAGAAGCCCCGGCUAACUUCGUGCCAGCAGCCGCGGUAAUACGAAGGGGGCUAGCGUUGUUCGGAAUUACUGGGCGUAAAGCGCACGUAGGCGGGUAUUUAAGUCAGGGGUGAAAUCCCGCAGCUCAACUGCGGAACUGCCUUUGAUACUGGGUAUCUUGAGUAUGGAAGAGGUAAGUGGAAUUGCGAGUGUAGAGGUGAAAUUCGUAGA
This 556-nucleotide ribosomal RNA is filed under the name uncultured bacterium. RNAcentral describes it as "bacterial SSU rRNA". It matches the Rfam family "Bacterial small subunit ribosomal RNA", at positions 102 to 694 of the family's 1533-position model. The record is from RNAcentral.